Molecule: ribosomal RNA, 476 nt
Filed under: uncultured bacterium
Lineage: Bacteria
Description: SSU rRNA
Rfam family: Bacterial small subunit ribosomal RNA
Source: RNAcentral
AGGAUCAACGCUGGCGGCGUGCCUAAUGCAUGCAAGUCGAACGGGGUCGCUUUCGGGCGGCUUACGUGGCGGACGGGUGAGGAACGCGUGGGGAACCUGCCCUGGGGUGGGGGGUAGCCCGCGGAAACGUGGGGUAAUUCCGCAUCCGCUGGUCCGGCGGUAGGCUGGAUCAGGAAAGCCCUUUGGGGCGCCCUGGGAGGGGCCUGCGGCCGAUUAGCUGGUUGGUGGGGUAACGGCCUACCAAGGCGGUGAUCGGUAGCUGGUCUGAGAGGACGGCCAGCCACACGGGGACUGAGAGACGGCCCCGACUCCUACGGGAGGCAGCAGCAAGGAAUUUUCCGCAAUGGGCGCAAGCCUGACGGAGCAACGCCGCGUGCGGGAGGACGCCUUUCGGGGUGUAAACCGCUUUUCUUGGGGACGAAAACACUGACGGUACCCGAGGAAGAAGGACCGGCUAACUACGUGCCAGCAGCCGC